RNAcentral lists this long non-coding RNA (6948 nucleotides) under Gossypium barbadense (sea-island cotton). RNAcentral's name for it is "long non-coding RNA (GBAR_LNC022198)". Lineage: Eukaryota; Viridiplantae; Streptophyta; Magnoliopsida; Malvales; Malvaceae. The record is from RNAcentral.
GGGGAACAGCAGUUGGGAUUGUGGGGACUGAGGGAAUGCUUGGCAGAGGGGGUAGUCCUGUUGGCAAUGUGGUAGGAAGUGGAGGAAGCGCCCCAGGCCAUGGGAAUGAUUGUCGGGAUGGCGUUGGGAGAUUAGAGAAAGAUGGUAAACUUCGCGGUUGAGGCUGCUGCAGAAGGUGACGAGCUGCUACCCCAACAUCAAUGCUUGCAAAUGACAAAGCAAUCAAGAAUGCUAAAGCAAGGCAAUUGAAAGAGGCCAUUUUUGUUCAGAGAUUUCGAAACAAAUGAAGCAGAUGAAACAAAGUUCUUUAUCUGAAUAGUUGUGGGUGAAGAAAACAAAGCACGGUAUUGAGGUUUAUAUAGGCAUUGGAGCAAUGAAUAGAAAUCCCCUGCCCCUAAACAAUGCCCCAUGCAUGCCCCCAAACCAAAAUAGCGCCACAUGUUUUUUAUUUUUUUCCAUUUUAGUUGUAGUUCAUUUUUUAAAUAAAAAUUUAUAAUGAUUUGGAUGAAUUUUUAACUUAUUAUCAACGUUUUUGUUUUUGUUUUAUUUUCUAUUAAUUUUACCUAUUCUUUAAUUAACAAAUUUAUAAUGACUUGGAAUUAAUUUAACAGUGUUUUUUUUUAUAAUCGUUCUUAUAAUAAAAUUUAAAAAGGUGGGAACGAGUCCCACAAUGACAACAUGAUCCAUGCCUUUAGUCAAAGGUUCAGAUAACAUCUGCUCAGUGUUAAUGUGCUCAAUGACGACUUUCUUUUCUUUAACAUAUUCCCUUAUGGCUAGAUACUUAAAAUCGAUAUGUUUACUUCGACUUUCACUUUUGUCGCUCUUAGCCAUAAAUACAGCAAUUGAAUUGUCACAAUAUAUGAAAUAAUCGAAACCUAUAAUGACUCAGCUCAAAAAACUCGAGCCUCAAACCCAAAUUAAAUUAAAUCAAAAUCAUAAUUUAUUAUAUACAAUUGCAUAAAAUUAACAUAAUUUAAGUGUCAUAGUGCACAUUAAAUUAAAGUUUAUGUUUGACAUUAUAGAUUGAAGCAAUAUUCAUGUGUAAAAUUUUGAGAUUUAUUUCCUUAAUGAAAGUAAUAUUUCAAAUAGAAUACUUGAACAAUCCUCCAUGUUGGCAAACUUUAUGUACAUUAGAAACGAACUAAAUAAUUAGAAUAAAUCUAAAGUAUGGCUUACAUUUAAUUUAUUCAUAAUGUGACUUAAACUUUGGCCUUCAAGAUUUCACGGUCUCAAAUUAUGUCUUAAAAUUUUAAGAUCAUUUUAGGUUUGUUAAAAACAUCAAUAGUUUAGAAAGUUAGAAUUGUUGCUUGAGGCGUGGAUUUCCCUAUUCUUUAGGAUAUUCGUGGAUUUACUAUCCCUCAAGAUUUAAUUUGUAUCAUGUGCAAUGAAAAAAUUGAAAAAGAAAAUUCCCAUUUGAAUGGAAUUGAGCUAUUAGGCUCAGGCCUCGUGUGCGCAUAUAUAUUCUCUUAUUUUGAGUCUUACAAGUUUAUAGUAAACCAAAUCUAUAUAAACAUCAUUUUAUAAGUGUAUCUAAGAUAUGUUUAAUAUGUGUAAUUCUUUAAAAUACAUGAAAACUUCAAAUGUGGUUUAGGUCAUUUUCAGAUUUGUCUUAUUUAGGUUCAAAUCAUUCGAAUUUGAGGCUAAGUUUUUCAUGUGUAAUCAUUAUUGAUCCGAAUCAUUUUAGAUUUUGAUCAUUUUAAGUUCUAAUUAUUUUGUGAUCAAAUCAUUUCAAGUUUAGAUAAAUUUGGGUCAAUUUUGAAUUUGACUUAAUUACGUAAUUAACCUUUUUUAUAAUAAAUUGAGCUGAAUGAACUUUAGAUUGGAAUUUAUUUAGUGUACCUUUGUGUUUAAGUUGAAAUUUAAACAUCUGUAUUAGAAAUACACAUGUUAAUACAAUUUUAUGUUAAAGACAAUAAUACGACAAAAUUAAUUUGGGAGAUAAACAUGUUAAUUUUUUAAUCCCAACCAAAAUUGUACAUAAUUGUUUUAUAUCAUAUUAAAUACAUGUAACGUCUUAUAAAAAUUGUCAAUAAAUUAUGCCUAGCGACAACGUUAUUCAAAUCUAAUUUCAUUGUUAAUACCUAUUUCUAUUUUUCUUCUAAUAUCUUCAACUUUAAAUAUAAAGGAAUUGAAAUUUUAAGAAUUGAGAUUUCUUUUCUUUAUAUUAGUGGACAUUUGAUUUUUUGUUUGAUUUUUUUUACUAGAAUUGAUGCAUAUCUUUUCAGAUUUAUCAAUAUUUUUUAAAAUUAUUUAAGAUAUGUAUAUAAAUAUAUUACAAAUAUAAAAUGAAUGAAACUAAAUACAUUUCAAAUAUAAAAUAUUCAUUAAUAAACUUAACAAAUAAAAAUUUAUCAUUCAAAGAAAUCCAAAAUUAUUAAUAAUAAUCCAUCAUUUAAUAUGAAAUUCUAAAGAUUUAGCUCAUUUACUUAAUAAAAGAAGGUGAAAGGUGGACGAAUAUUUUUUAUUUGAUAAUCAGGUAAAUGGUUUUUUCUUAAUUAUAUUUUGAAUGUGAAAGUAUAUUCCAUUUUUUUUUAAAAUUUACAUUCCGAUGUAGCGUUUUUAAUUAGUCACGUUUCAAUUAAGUUUUUAGCAUAAUAGUAAAUUAUUAAAAGUUUAAUAUUUUUAAUAUUAUUCAUGCAUAGGACGGUGCACUAUGUUCUGGCAGGUGUGACAGGAAUUGAUCGGAAUGAGUUGGUGCAAUUGGUACAGACCAAAAUUUUUACCAGUGUAGAAAAAGGGUUUUGGGUGUUUCGCAAUGUUAUUGAAACCAAACCAAACAGACCAAAAACCGAUGAACCCGAGAACUAGAGUAAACUGCAGUUAAACUGCAAAUCAUCAGCUGAUUAAGCCGCAUUUCGCAUUUUCUAGACUGGAAAACAAAAAUUUCACUUCAGAUCCCUUGAGCUUUUGUUACACUUCUUCUCUUAACUCAAAAUAAAACAAACCAUACAAAGAAUAAGCACUGUUUCUUUUAUUACUUUUUUAUUACUCAGUGAAAAACCUGGACUUAUAACAUUCAAUCAAAGGAAAAAAAAGACAAAUUAGGAAAGAUGAAAGAUGGGGAGAGGGUUUUAAAAUUCAAAGCCGUCAAAAUAGAUGAGUUUGGGGUUAUUAAUAUUAUUUUAUAUUGUUCAAUAGAAAAUUAAUUGUAUCGGUGGUUGAAUCUGUGAGAUCAAAAAUUAAUUAAUUGAUUAAUUUAAUUAUCAAUCUAAUUUUAAAAAUAUUAAUAUUUCGGUAUAAAAUUAAUACAGUGCACACAAAUUAAUAUAACCGAAAUCUGUACGAAACCGAGCACCUUAAUUUAAUACAUAAUUUGACAUUCAUAUAAAAUAUUAUCUUGGAAAUAUAUUGAAAGAGGAAAGUAAUCGUAUGUAAAUGGAUAACUUGGAAGAGAUAAUGAAGCAGGAAUCAUUAUAUUAACAGUGGCAUCUUCUCGAUGUACGGCGGCUCACUAUUUUGACUGCAUUUAUCGUUUGAUUCUUUUCUUAAUUAGCCAAACUCAUGUUAACAAUGGUAUAACAGUAAUUAAUUACUUCAUGGAUAGAACAUCAAUAUAUAAAUACCCCAUAUAUAAUAAGCAACAACGUUUCAAAAUACACCAAAUAAUGGGAAUUGGAGAACGCCCAUUUAUACAAACAAAUAUAAGUGGGCAAAAUCAAUACUCAUAAUAAAGACACAAAGACGACUAAAAACCUUAUUAAACUAGAUCCAGUAUGCAGCAUAACAGAAAAGGGGGUAUUUCAAGGAGUAGAGCGAGAAGGUGGUGGAGAAAAGAAAGGAAUAGAAGGAACUGCAGUUGGGAUUGAGGGAAUGCUUGGCAGAGGCGACAGUCCUCUUGGCAAUGUGGUAGGAAGUGGAGGAAGCGCCCCAGGGUUUGGGAGAUAAGGGAAAGAUGGCAAUGGUGGAAAAGAGAAAGGAAUAGGGGGAAUUGCAGUUGGGAUUGUGGGGACUGAGGGAAUGCUUGGCAGAGGGGGCAGUCCUGUUGGGAAUGUGGUAGGAAGUGGAGGAAGCGCCCCAGGCCAUGGGAAUGAUUGUCGGGAUGGCGUUGGGAGAUUAGGGAAAGAUGGUAAACUUUGCGGUUGAGGCUGCUGCAGAAGGUGACGAGCUGCUACCCCAACAUCAAUGCUUGCAAAUGACAAAGCAAUCAAGAAUGCUAAAGCAAGGAAAUUGAAAGAGGCCAUUUUUGUUCAGAGAUUUCGAAACAAAUGAAGCAGAUGAAACAAAGUUCUUUAUCUGAAUAGUUGUGGGUGAAGAAAACAAAGCAUGGUAUUGAGGUUUAUAUAGGCAUUGGAGCAGUGAAUAGAAAUCCCCUGCCCCUAAACAAUGCUCCAUGCAUGCCCCCAAACCAAAAUAGCUCCACAUGUUUUUUAUUUUUUUCAUUUUAAUUUUUUAAAAUAAAAACUCUGUAAUGAUUUGAAUUAAUUUUUAACUUAUUAUCAACGUUUUUAUUUUUGUUUUAUUUUUAUUUUACAUUAAUUUUACCUAUUCUUUAAUUAACAAAUUUAUAAUGACUUAGAGUUAAUUUGAGAGAUUUUUUUUUUAUAAUUGGUCUUAUAAUAAAAUUUUACAAAGCAGAAACAAGUUCCACUGUGAAAACAUGAUCCUUAAAUUUUUGGAGAUAACCAUGUUAAUUUUUUAAUCCCAACCAAAAUUCUAAAUAAUUCUUUUAUGUCAUAUUAAAUACACGUAACGUCUUAUAAAAAUUGUCAAUAAAUUAUGCAUAGUGACAAGGUUAUUCAAAUCUAAUUUCAUUGUUAAUACCUAUUUCUAUUUUUCUUCUACUGUCUUCAACUUUAAAUAUAAAGGGAUUGAAAUUUUAAGAAUUGAGAUUUCUUUUCUCUGUAUUAGUGGACGUUUGAUUUUUUAUUUUAUUUUUUUAUUGGAAUUGAUACAUAUCUUUUCAGAUUUAUCAAUAUAUUUUAAAAUUUUAUAAGAUAUGUAUAUAAAUAUAUUAAAAAUAUAAAAUGAAUGAAACUAAAUACAUUUCACAUAUAAAAUAUUCAUUAAUCAACUUAAGAAAUAAAAAUUUAUCAUUCAAAUAAUCCAAAAUUAUUACUAAUAAUCUCAUUUAAUAUGAAAUUUUAAGGAUUUAGCUCAUUUACUUAAUAAAAGUAGUUGAAAGGUGAAUGAAUAUUUUUUUUAUAAUCGGGUGAAUGGUUUUUUUCUUAAUUAUAUUUUUAAUGUGAAAGUAUAUUCUAAUUUUUUUUAAAAACUUUACAUUCCGAUGUAGCAUUUUUAAUUAGUCACGUUUCAAUUAAGUUUUUAGCAUAAUAGAAAAUAAUUAAAAGUUUAAUAUUUUUAAUAUUAUUCAUGCGCAGGACGGUGCACUAUGUUCUGGCAGGUGUGACUGGAAUUGAUCGGAAUGAGUUGGUGCAAUUGGUACGGACCGAAAUUUUUACCAGUGUAGAAAAAGGGUGUUGGGUGUUUCACAAUAUUAUUGAAAGCAAACCAAAAAGACCAAGAACCGAUGAACCCGAGAACUAGAGUAAACUGCAGUUAAACUACAAAUCAUCUGUCGAUUAAGUCGUAUUUUCACAUUCUUUAAACCGGAAAAACAAAAAUUACACUUCAAAUCCCUUGAGCCAUUGUUAUACUUUUUCUCUGCACUCAAUGAAAUAAAACACAACAUAAAAAAAAUAAGCACCAUCUCUUUUAUUACUUUUACUACUAAAAUAACUUUUUUUUUCUUGUGAAAAACCUAAGAUGGACUUAUAACAUAUAAUAAAAAGGGAAAAAAAAGACAAAUUAGGAAAGAUGAAAGAUGGGGAGAGGGUUUUAAAAUUCAAAGCCGUCAAAAUAGAUGAGUUUGGGGUUAUUAGUAUUAUUUUAUAUUGUUCAAUAGAAAAUUAAUUGUAUCGGUGGUUGAACCUGUGAGAUCAAAAAUUAAUUAAUUGAUUAAUUUAAUUAUCGAUCUAAUUUUAAAAAUAUUAAUAUUUCGGUAUAAAAUUAAUACAGUGCACACAAAUUAAUAUAACCGAAAUCUGUACGAAACCGAGCACCUUAAUUUAAUACAUAAUUUGACAUUCAUAUAAAAUAUUAUCUUGGAAAUAUAUUGAAAGAGGAAAGUAAUCGUAUGUAAAUGGAUAACUUGGAAGAUAUAAUGAAGCAGGAAUCAUUAUAUUAACAGUGGCAUCUUCUCGAUGUACGACUGCUCACUAUUUUGACUGCAUUUAUCGUUUGAUUCUUUUCUUAAUUAGCCAAACUCAUGUUAACAAUGGUAUAACAGUAAUUAAUUACUUCAUGGACAGAACAUCAAUAUAUAAAUACCCCAUAUAUAAUAAGCAACAACGUAUCAAAAUACACCAAAUAAUGGGAAUUGGAGAACGCCCAUUUAUACAAACAAAUAUAAGUGGGCAAAAUCAAUACUCAUAAUAAAGACACAAAGACGAUUAAAAGCCUUAUUAAACUAGAUCCAGUAUGCAGCAUAACAGAAAAUGGGGUAUUUCAAGGAGUAGAGCGAGAAGGUGGUGGAGAAAAGAAAGGAAUAGAGGGAACUGCAGUUGGGAUUGAGGGAAUGCUUGGCAGAGGCGGCAGUCCUCUUGGCAAUGUGGUAGGAAGUGGAGGAAGCGCCCCAGGGUUUGGGAGAUAAGGGAAAGAUGGCAAUGGUGGAAAAGAGAAAGGAAUAGGGGGAACUGCAGUUGGGAUUGUGGGGACUGAGGGAAUGCUUGGCAGGGGGGGUAGUCCUGUUGGCAAUGUGGUAGGAAGUGGAGGAAGCGCCCCAGGCCAUGGGAAUGAUUGUCGGGAUGGAGUUGGGAGAUUAGGGAAAGAUGGUAAACUUUGCGGUUGAGGCUGCUGCAGAAGGUGACGAGCUGCUACCCCAACAUCAAUGCUUGCAAAUGACAAAGCAAUCAAGAAUGCUAAAGCAAGGCAAUUGAAAGAGGCCAUUUUUGUUGAGAGAUUUCGAAACAAAUGAAGCAGAUGAAACAAAGUUCUUUAUCUAAAUAGUUG